RNAcentral lists this ribosomal RNA (253 nucleotides) under uncultured bacterium. RNAcentral's name for it is "partial 16S ribosomal RNA". It matches the Rfam family "Bacterial small subunit ribosomal RNA", at positions 524 to 776 of the family's 1533-position model. The record is from RNAcentral.
GACGAACCGAGCGAACGUUGUUCGGAAUCACUGGGCUUAAAGGGCGCGUAGGCGGGCUGUCAAGUCUGGGGUGAAAUCUCGCGGCUCAACCGCGGAACUGCCUCAGAUACUGACGGCCUCGAGGGGGGUAGGGGCGAGCGGAACGGGUGGUGGAGCGGUGAAAUGCGUUGAUAUCACUCGGAACUCCGGUGGCGAAGGCGGCUCGCUGGACCUUUUCUGACGCUGAGGCGCGAAAGCUAGGGGAGCAAACGGG